GGUUAAGCGACUAAGCGUACACGGUGGAUGCCCUGGCAGUCAGAGGCGAUGAAGGACGUGCUAAUCUGCGAUAAGCGUCGGUAAGGUGAUAUGAACCGUUAUAACCGGCGAUUUCCGAAUGGGGAAACCCAGUGUGAUUCGUCACACUAUCAUUAACUGAAUCCAUAGGUUAAUGAGGCGAACCGGGGGAACUGAAACAUCUAAGUACCCCGAGGAAAAGAAAUCAACCGAGAUUCCCCCAGUAGCGGCGAGCGAACGGGGAGCAG
RNAcentral lists this ribosomal RNA (266 nucleotides) under Escherichia coli. RNAcentral's name for it is "partial 23S ribosomal RNA". It matches the Rfam family "Bacterial large subunit ribosomal RNA", at positions 1 to 267 of the family's 2925-position model. RNAcentral also lists the same sequence under 1 other name. The record is from RNAcentral. Lineage: Bacteria; Pseudomonadati; Pseudomonadota; Gammaproteobacteria; Enterobacterales; Enterobacteriaceae.